AUUAACGCUAGCGGCAGGCCUAAUACAUGCAAGUCGAACGGCAGCACGGGUAGCAAUACCUGGUGGCGAGUGGCGCACGGGUGCGUAACAUGUAUGCAAUCUACCUUUAACUGGGGAAUAACCCCUCGAAAGAGGGGCUAAUACCGCAUAAUACUUCGGAGGGACAUCCCUUUGAAGUCAAAUCUACGGAGGUUAAAGAUGAGCAUGCGUCCGAUUAGCUAGUUGGCGGGGUAACGGCCCACCAAGGCGACGAUCGGUAGGGGAUCUGAGAGGAUGAUCCCCCACACUGGUACUGAGACACGGACCAGACUCCUACGGGAGGCAGCAGUAAGGAAUAUUGGACAAUGGGCGCAAGCCUGAUCCAGCCAUGCCGCGUGCAGGAUGAAAGUGCUCUGCACUGUAAACUGCUUUUACUUGGGAAAAAACCCCUGCUUUCCAGCGGGGCUGAUUGUACCGAGAGAAUAAGGGACGGCUAACUUCGU
RNAcentral lists this ribosomal RNA (482 nucleotides) under uncultured bacterium. RNAcentral describes it as "bacterial SSU rRNA". It matches the Rfam family "Bacterial small subunit ribosomal RNA", at positions 29 to 506 of the family's 1533-position model. The record is from RNAcentral.